GUAAUGGUGUCUUUAGACACCACCUAUAUCUUCAAAAAUUUUGUU
Picea glauca (white spruce) is the source of this 45-nucleotide non-coding RNA. The record is from Rfam. NCBI's taxonomy places the organism in Eukaryota, Viridiplantae, Streptophyta, Pinopsida, Pinales, Pinaceae.